Molecule: ribosomal RNA, 397 nt
Filed under: uncultured bacterium
Lineage: Bacteria
Description: partial 16S ribosomal RNA
Rfam family: Bacterial small subunit ribosomal RNA
Source: RNAcentral
AUACGUAGGGGGCGAGCGUUGUCCGGAAUGAUUGGGCGUAAAGGGCGCGUAGGCGGCCGCUUAAGUCUGGAGUGAAAGUCCUGUUUUCAAGAUGGGAAUUGCUUUGGAUACUGGGGGGCUUGAGUGCAGGAGAGGUUAUCGGAAUUCCCGGUGUAGCGGUGAAAUGCGUAGAGAUCGGGAGGAACACCAGUGGCGAAGGCGGGUAACUGGACUGCAACUGACGCUGAGGCGCGAAAGUGUGGGGAGCAAACAGGAUUAGAUACCCUGGUAGUCCACACUGUAAAAGAUGAAUGCUAGGUGUAAGAGGUAUCGACCCCUUUUGUGCCGGAGUCAACACAAUAAGCAUUCCGCCUGGGGAGUACGGCCGCAAGGUUGAAACUCAAAGGAAUUGACGGGG